RNAcentral lists this ribosomal RNA (389 nucleotides) under uncultured bacterium. Its description in RNAcentral is "bacterial SSU rRNA". It matches the Rfam family "Bacterial small subunit ribosomal RNA", at positions 30 to 420 of the family's 1533-position model. The record is from RNAcentral.
AUUGAACGCUGGCGGCAUGCCUUACACAUGCAAGUCGAACGGCAGCGGACCUUCGGGUGCCGGCGAGUGGCGAACGGGUGAGUAAUAUAUCGGAACGUACCUUUCAGUGGGGGAUAACGUAGCGAAAGUUACGCUAAUACCGCAUAUUCUGUGAGCAGGAAAGCAGGGGAUCGCAAGACCUUGCGCUGAUUGAGCGGCCGAUAUCAGAUUUAGCUAGUUGGUGAGGUAAAGGCUCACCAAGGCGACGAUCUGUAGCGGGUCUGAGAGGAUGAUCCGCCACACUGGAACUGAGACACGGUCCAGACUCCUACGGGAGGCAGCAGUGGGGAAUUUUGGACAAUGGGCGCAAGCCUGAUCCAGCCAUGCCGCGUGAGUGAAGAAGGCCUCGG